RNAcentral lists this ribosomal RNA (253 nucleotides) under uncultured bacterium. RNAcentral describes it as "partial 16S ribosomal RNA". It matches the Rfam family "Bacterial small subunit ribosomal RNA", at positions 524 to 776 of the family's 1533-position model. The record is from RNAcentral.
UACGUAGGUGGCAAGCGUUGUCCGGAAUUAUUGGGCGUAAAGCGCGCGCAGGCGGUCUCUUAAGUCUGAUGUGAAAGCCCACGGCUCAACCGUGGAGUGUCAUUGGAAACUGGGGGACUUGAGUGCAGAGGAGGAAAGCGGAAUUCCACGUGUAGCGGUGAAAUGCGUAGAGAUGUGGAGGAACACCAGUGGCGAAGGCGGCUUUCUGGUCUGUAACUGACGCUGAGGCGCGAAAGCGUGGGGAGCAAACAGG